Molecule: long non-coding RNA, 2615 nt
Organism: Ixodes scapularis (black-legged tick)
Lineage: Eukaryota; Metazoa; Arthropoda; Arachnida; Ixodida; Ixodidae
Exons: 2
Source: RefSeq, a predicted model, not a curated record
GGCUCGGCGGACGGCAGCUUUCCGGUCACGUCGCUCGAAAGGUCGGUUGGGCUGCACUUCAGUGGCUCGUGCGGGCUUCUCGACAUUCUUCCGUUGUUAGAAAGCUGAUGCCGCCAGGAUGUUUGGCUACGGCAGCUACUGUUGCGUAGCCUGGUGCGGAAACAAUGGGAGAACGCGCAAGAAGCCAGGAACAAAGUUCUUCCGAGUUCCACGAGACGACAGUUGCGCCAUGCUAUUCGAAAAGGGCAGCCGGAUUUAGUUGAAUUUCUCGGAAAACAGCUUCCUUGGAUUGCGUCUUCGAAGUUGGAAGGCAAACGUCAGCCACACACUAUCAUCGGGUGGCAAAUUACGAUCAAGGCCGUCUUGCUGCUGUGGGAAGAUGUUUCCCAGAAUUACGACUUUGAGUUUCUCCUCACGCGUCGACUUCAACAAGACCCACUUGAACAGAUGUUUGGACACAUAAGACAAAAGCAGGGAUGCAACUCGAAUCCCAAUGUGCCUCAGUUCAUAUCUGGCCUGAAACACAUUGGGAUUCAGAAGCUCCUCACACUGUCACCGAAGGGAAAUGUCGAGGAUGAUGAGACGGACCUCCUCCAGGAGUUGUCCCCAUUUUCACUUAGUAGCGAGUCACUCGUGGAUGUUGUGCAGCAUGUCCCACAGGACGACUUUCCAUCUUUGGAAAACAUCACUGAGUUGGCAGCCCAUGAGGAGUGCCAUGUUAUUGACAACUCUGCUACUUAUUAUGUUGCUGGCUUCAUUGUUAAAAUGUUUACUGAGAAGGCUGCAGAAGGUUGUUGUUGUCCUGACUUGCUUAGAGAUGAGCACAGUAACCUUGAUGAGCCACAUCAGUUUUUUAUGAUGCUGAAAGCGUACCACGUCCCAGGCAAGCUCUUCGGCAACUUGACUGUGCCAUCAAGUGCAGCUUUCACACUUGUUCAGCAGCUCGAGUCAAUCUUUCUUUCUGUUAUCGAAAGUGUAGCGCACCUCCGAAGUGUUUGUGAAACAUUGUACAUAACUCUCUCGCGUGUCGGUGAUUUUAAUUUUUGCACUCCAGAGUGUCGUGCACGGUUUUUAAAAAUGUUUUGCCGAAUUCGAUUGUGCUGGCAUGUCCGUUUUGUAAAUAGAAACUUGGAUAAAGUUCGCUUCCAUUCUCGCGUCUCUGGUGUACAGUUUGAAACGUUCAGUGGGUAGAAGAUGAUGUUUCAGCCUUUAUGUUGCAUCUCAUAAGAUAUCUGCAACAGUAAAAUUAAUUUUAUUGGGAUUUUAUUGGGCCGUGCAGACUGCACACUAGCCAUUUGUUGGGAUUAUUUGCAGUUAGUAGGUUGCACUCUACUGGUCUAUUGUAAUUACUGCUUUUUUAGAUGGUCAUGUCUGUUUUUUUCCUAUUGUGGUCAUGUGGAAUGUGUAAGUGCCCAUAUUGAUCUUUGUUAAUACUCUCUUAGGUCACUCAUCUCGGAUGCAACUUUCUUUUCUUUUGGACACUGUUUCUGCUUUACACAUAUGUGGAGCGUGAAGGAGAUUGAGAUCAGGGGUGUCCACCAACCUGGCAAGCCUGAAAUGCUCAGGGAAUUUUGGAUCACCUGGAAAAGUCAGGGAAUUAUCAGGGAAACUGUCAAAAGGUUGGCUAAGUCAGGGAAAGUGACGAGUAAAAGUGGCACGGUGGUGCGGAACGAAGCCCGGCGAUCAGGUGUCGUCACGGUUCUGCUGAAUAACAUUGCCCGAAAUGUCAUCCUUCGAAGGAAGGAACAGCCAGGAAAUUUUAUCAAAAUAGUCAAGGGAAACCUGGAAAAAUCAUGGACUUUGGAAAAGUCAUUGGGUAGACACCUUGUAAGAUGUACCUAAUUAGGCAGUGCAGAUUGCAUGCCAAGCCUUGGUGGAAUCAUUUGUGAUGAGUGGGUCGCAGGUACACCGGGCACCAGUCUGAUUUAGCAGUCUUUUGUCAGCCAUUUCAUGUGCGCUUGUUAUGGUAGUGGUCAUGGUAAACCUUACAUGUUAAAUGUGACAUGUUAAACGUGACAUGAACGUAAAACCUGUAUUAGACCGUCGGUUGGCUUUCAGUUCUUGUUAUUUUGGUCAUUAUUGUUACUUAAAUCAGCAGGAGCAAGGUAUUUUUAAUUCUGUAGUUCAGGCUGUGUUAGGGUUAUUUAAUGACUAUGUCACAGACUAAGAAGGUCUAUACUAGUGGCAAUCUUGUUUAGGCAUUUACUUGUCUGUUUUUCUCAUUGUGGUCAUCGUGCAUUUCAGAUUUCUUCUGCUGAGCGUUUUAUUUGCAUACAAAUUGCAUUGGAUCAACGAGCUUUGAUACUGCAUGGCCAGUUUUUUUUUAGUAUGUGUUGCUGAUGCUGCAUAUGUUAUGUGUGUGGUGCACCUUCCAUGGAACAUGCUUGAGAACACAAAACAGGCUUGCAAUCCAAUUGCAGUUGUAACAUUGUAAUUCCAGUUGUUUGAUAAGAUUUUCAUGCAUGCCAUAAUAUGCUUGUCAUUUUUUUGUAGGAUGUAUUGUUUGUGAAUCCUUGAUGCACGGUGCUUAUGUUUUGUAGUUUUGGUAAUUAUAUACGAGGCACAAACUGCCCACCGUAUUUUUGUUGCGAAAAUAAACUGUGUUGGUUACUCCC